CAUUCACGGAGAGUUUGAUCCUGGCUCAGGACGAACGCUGGCGGCGUGCUUAACACAUGCAAGUCGAACGAUGAAGCCCUUCGGGGUGGAUUAGUGGCGAACGGGUGAGUAACACGUGGGCAAUCUGCCCUUCACUCUGGGACAAGCCCUGGAAACGGGGUCUAAUACCGGAUACGACCUGCCGAGGCAUCUCGGCGGGUGGAAAGCUCCGGCGGUGAAGGAUGAGCCCGCGGCCUAUCAGCUUGUUGGUGAGGUAACG
RNAcentral lists this ribosomal RNA (259 nucleotides) under Streptomyces showdoensis. Its description in RNAcentral is "partial 16S ribosomal RNA". It matches the Rfam family "Bacterial small subunit ribosomal RNA", at positions 1 to 262 of the family's 1533-position model. Lineage: Bacteria; Bacillati; Actinomycetota; Actinomycetes; Kitasatosporales; Streptomycetaceae. The record is from RNAcentral.